Pelmatolapia mariae (spotted tilapia) is the source of this 1466-nucleotide long non-coding RNA. RefSeq lists it as uncharacterized. The record is from RefSeq and is a predicted model, not a curated record. The transcript is spliced from 3 exons. Lineage: Eukaryota; Metazoa; Chordata; Actinopteri; Cichliformes; Cichlidae.
GUAACCUGCAGUGUUGAAAACGUGUUUUCCGACGAUGUUUGCUACCCUACAAUCCGUCCUGCUCUGUAGUAAAAUCAGCGACAUUUAACCGUCCUGUUGCUCCCUUUGAAAUGUAUACAGCCUAUUUAAAAUCUAAAACUUAAAAUUGUCCGUAGCUACUGUUGUUACCACUGUCCUGUUUGAAAUGGAUACUAACUAGCUAACUGGCUGGAUGCCCAUUAACCUUAUAACUCCUGUUUUGUGUGUGUGUGUGUGUGUGUGUGUGUGUGUGUGUGUGUGUGUGUGUGUGUGUGUGUGUGUGUGUGUGUGUGUGUGUGUGUACAGAGAGACAGCCAGGUUCAUAAUGGAAAUAAGAAGUUUUUUCAAAAGAAGGAGCCACAUUCAGUCCGAAGAGGGAGAGAGGAAAGAGGGGAAUGUGAGGAGAAAGUACAAGGUCAGGAAGAACCAGCAUGUCUUUAUCCUGUUUUCCUUCUCUCACUCCAACCGGUCACAGCAGAUGGCCCCGCCCCUCCCUGAGCCUGGUUCUGCCGGAGGUUUCUUCCUGUUAAAAGGGAGUUUUUCCUUCCCACUGUCACUAAAGUGCUUGUUCAUAGGGGGUCAUAUGAUUGUUGGGUUUUUCUCUGUAUCAACUGUACAAUAUAAAGCGCCUUGAGGCGACUUUUGUUGUGAUUUGGCGCUAUAUAAAUAAAAUUGAAUUGAAUUGAAUUGUAAGAGGGUAAUACAGUUUUAUACCAUUUAAAAAUCUUCCUCUGGGAAAUAACACAGCCGAUCCUGCUGCUCCCGACUGGAUCUUCUUCUGCAAUUCAUCUACGUCUGCUCCUGCUCCUUUACUGGAAAAAGGUAGAGAAAGAACAACACCUCCCUCCUUAAUCUUGCUGUGUUGCUAUUAUCUAACAAUUCUCAGCCUGUAAUUUUGUACUUAUUAUCUAAGUCUGGGAUAUUCUGCUCAGACUCCUUUAGCCCAGGAAAAUUGCACCCUGACUUUAACUGGUUAUGAUAUGUAAGCAUGUUUGGAAAUCCCUCUGCAGCUCUGCAUGUCAGUCUCAAUAAUUCAGUUCAAUCAAAGAGCUAAAUUCACGCUUUUACCCCAUUAUUACACGGAGGGCUAACUCUUAAUAGAGCGUUGCAAUGUAUAAAAAUCACUAAAUGAACUUUAUUUCAUCAUUAUAUUCUUAACAUGCUCAGACAGUGAGCGACUUCUCCCUGCUGUCUUAUUUUCACCUUUGACCUUUACUGCGAUGUCUGGGAGCCCGUCCCCUUCUCUCUGCCGCUCACACAUCCAGUAGCAGGCCUUGUUUGUGCCUUCAUGAGCUGUACCAUCCAGUGUUUUGCUUCAUUAAGUCUUUCUUUUUAUCAAUGUUUUGUCAGUCUCGUAUUUUAAUUUUUCUUUAUGUCCAGCAGAUCUCUCAAUCUUGCCAAAUCCUAUUACACACAAUGUACAUAUGUUUGCAAUUCACAUCUCCUUU